UUUGAACGUUCGAUCUCAAAU
RNAcentral lists this ribosomal RNA (21 nucleotides) under Tomentella sublilacina. RNAcentral describes it as "partial 28S ribosomal RNA". Lineage: Eukaryota; Fungi; Basidiomycota; Agaricomycetes; Thelephorales; Thelephoraceae. The record is from RNAcentral.